Molecule: long non-coding RNA, 1869 nt
Filed under: Gadus morhua (Atlantic cod)
Lineage: Eukaryota; Metazoa; Chordata; Actinopteri; Gadiformes; Gadidae
Description: lncRNA (ENSGMOG00000024315.1)
Source: RNAcentral
CUAAUUAGGGGCAAUUAGGCAGAGUCAUUCAGCGAGCGAUACCAGCCCUGAAGCCUUGUUGAUUACAUGUAUUUUGUAAGACGGUGAUAAUCAAAGGCUGUGCGUGAUACUGACGUAUUAUUUCAUCAUUUCUUUUUUUUUUUUUACCAGAUAAGCCAUAUGGCCACAUCAUCUGAAUCUACACGAGGUCAACAUGAGGUCCUACUUGGAAGCUCGUUAUCCCGUUUCAUCUCUUGAAGGAAUGACAUUUAGUGAAUCCUGCCGACGGUUUCAAAUGGCACCUGUUUAAUUAUUUGGAAUAAUUACUCGGAACACAAAGCUCAAAAUGUGGCAGGAAAUUGAUGCACGAUGAGUGCCUUCGGUGCGAUGCGGUGAAUGCAGCCGAUUCCCGCCUUCCCCUCGUGUCACGUUUGCGCAACAGCCUCACUCCGGCGACUGGAUACAUCGGAUGGAGCACCGUCUCCGCCUCCUGCCGCCGCCGCCGCCGCCUCCGCUCUUGGGUGGGCUCUAUACCGACUUCCUGGCGCCCGGUUGGUAUUCGCUCAGCGGCGGGUCUUGUCACUUGCCCUAAUCGAGGCUGAGUGUUUUCUUUUUGGUUAAUCAAGGAGACGUGUCAGUCACCCGCCCGGUAGGGCCCGGAGACCUUUCUCCGAAAGGCAAUCUGGCGAUCCGUAAUUACCCCGUUGACGAGGACGCGGCGCCCGGCGUCCCUGAACGCCGCCUCGCCGCCUCGGAGCGCCCGCCCCCCCACCGCUCGAGAUGCGGUUGCCACGGCGACGGCAGCUUGGGUAAACACCUGCAUCUCAGAAGAGAGGAAAAGGCUCUACAGGGAUAACGCACCGAGAAUGGAAUAGGCAGGAAGUGUGUGUAUAUAUACAGAGACGGGCACUUUCAUCUUAUAUUUUGUGUGCGUGUGUGCUUGUCGGUGUUUGUGCGUGUGUGUAUGGGGGGAGGGGAUCCAUUUGAGGAAGUCAAAUUAGUUCUGACUUCCAGUGAAGUCGGACCUGCUUGUACAUUUCCUCUUUAUAGCCUCACCUGGAAUUUGAAGUAGUGCGACGUUCCCACUAGUGGAAGUGGAAGUGUGUCAAAGCGCUGGCUUUGAAGAUUUCCAAUCCUCAAGUAUUGGUAUUCUGCAGGCAUUGGGAUGAUAUUUAUUUUAUUAUUUAAUUUCCUGAUGUAGGCCAACACUCUUGAGUUAAACUUCAGGAGGCCUAAGGAUGAGACCAGCUGUCUUCACAGAUAUAGUACCUCCUCCUGGGAACCCAAUCCCAGAACCUUUAAGACAGUGGUCCCCGACGCUUCUGGCCCUGUGUCCAAUUCUUGCGACCCCAACUUCUUGCAUGUUGUUGUGCACCCCCAACAUCUGCCUGUGAAAUCAUCAUAUCCCAGUAUAGAAUAGUCAGUAGCAGUUUGCUUAUGGCUGUAAAUCAUCUGCUAUAUAAUAACUGCAAAUAUAUAAUAUAAUAAUAAGAAAUUGGCAAUCCAAUGUCAUAGCUUCUGCAAUCUCCCGAUUCCAAUCGGUGUUUAAUAGGUUGGUGUUUGAUAGGUUGGUGUUUAAUAGGUGCAAACAUGUAUGCAAUGGUUUCAUAAUGAAUCAAACAACGAGCAACGGAAAUCAAUCAUUAUGUCCCAAACUAAUCACUGUUCUCAGAAUCAAACAUUAAACUUUUGUGAUGUGACUUUUGUGAUGUGAUGGGCCUUAUUUAUUUAUUUUCACACAUUCUCUCUCCUGCAUGCCCAAAGCAUAUCAACACCUGCUCUUGAAGCCGCAGGAGAGCAAAAUGUAUGAUUUUUUUUCUGCUGCAACGAGGCCGCCCAGAGAUUAAGAUAAGGUUCUGCCUCGGCUGGUGGUCCCUAUACGUCUUCGCG